CCCGAGUAGCAGCGGGCCCGUGAAAUCUGCUGUGAAUCUGCCGGGACCACCCGGUAAGCCUGAAUACUCCCUGGUGACCGAUAGCGGACUAGUACCGUGAGGGAAAGGUGAAAAGUACCCCGGGAGGGGAGUGAAAUAGUACCUGAAACCGUGCGCUUACAAUCCGUCAAAGCCUUCGUACUUUCGAGUGUGUGGGGUGAUGGCGUGCCUUUUGAAGAAUGAGCCUGCGAGUCAUCGGUGUGUGGCGAGGUUAACCCGUGUGGGGUAGCCGUAGCGAAAGCGAGUCCGAAUAGGGCGUUCUUUAGUCGCACAUUAUGGACCCGAAGCGGAGUGAUCUACCCAUGGCCAGGGUGAAGCGACGGUAAGACGUCGUGGAGGCCCGAACCCACUUAGGUUGAAAACUGAGGGGAUGAGCUGUGGGUAGGGGUGAAAGGCCAAUCAAACUCCGUGAUAGCUGGUUCUCCCCGAAAUGCAUUUAGGUGCAGCGUCACGUGUUUCACGCCGGAGGUAGAGCUACUGGAUGGCCUAGGGGGCCUACAAGCUUACCGAAGUCAGCCAAACUCCGAAUGCCGGUGUGUGAGAGCGUGGCAGUGAGACUGCGGGGGAUAAGCUUCGUAGUCGAGAGGGAAACAGCCCAGAUCGCCGGCUAAGGCCCCUAAGCGUGUACUAAGUGGAAAAGGAUGUGGGGUCGCUUAGACAACCAGGAGGUUGGCUUAGAAGCAGCCACCCUUGAAAGAGUGCGUAAUAGCUCACUGGUCAAGUGAUCCUGCGCCGACAAUGUAGCGGGGCUCAAGUACACCGCCGAAGCCGCGGCAUUCA
Molecule: ribosomal RNA, 819 nt
Filed under: Nocardia mangyaensis
Lineage: Bacteria; Bacillati; Actinomycetota; Actinomycetes; Mycobacteriales; Nocardiaceae
Description: partial 23S ribosomal RNA
Rfam family: Bacterial large subunit ribosomal RNA
Source: RNAcentral